Molecule: long non-coding RNA, 210 nt
Filed under: Panax ginseng (ginseng)
Lineage: Eukaryota; Viridiplantae; Streptophyta; Magnoliopsida; Apiales; Araliaceae
Description: long non-coding RNA (PGIN_LNC000670)
Source: RNAcentral
UGACUUUUGUCAAACAGAUACGUAUCGAUCUGAUUAAUCUAAAAUGUAAUUAAAGUUUAUUUCCUCCAAUAUAACAACAAUUGAGGAUUUUAACUAUAUAUGUCUAAGUUUUCAGGACACAUGAUAACUGAAACCCCCUAGAAAUUUCAACUGGCUUACACAAUCACUCUCUCGUACAUGUGAGAAGUGCAUGGUAUGUACCAGUGCUCC